This 1056-nucleotide ribosomal RNA is filed under the name uncultured bacterium. RNAcentral describes it as "bacterial SSU rRNA". It matches the Rfam family "Bacterial small subunit ribosomal RNA", at positions 1 to 1031 of the family's 1533-position model. The record is from RNAcentral.
GGGGGAUUGGCUAGCGCGGAUCUUCAGAGAUUAGAGUUUGAUCCUGGCUCAGGAUUAACGCUAGCGGCAGGCCUAAUACAUGCAAGUCGAACGGGAUUCAAGGUAGCAAUAUUUUGAUGAGAGUGGCGCACGGGUGAGUAACACGUAUGCAAUUUGCCUUUAACUGGGGAAUAGCCCUCCGAAAGGAGGAUUAAUACCGCAUAACAUUUCAGAAUGGCAUCAUUUUGAAAUUAAACCUCCGGGGGUUAAAGAUAAGCAUGCAUCCGAUUAGGUAGUUGGUGUGGUAACGGCACACCAAGCCAACGAUCGGUAGGGGGUCUGAGAGGAUGAUCCCCCACACUGGUACUGAGACACGGACCAGACUCCUACGGGAGGCAGCAGUAAGGAAUAUUGGACAAUGGAGGCAACUCUGAUCCAGCCAUGCCGCGUGAAGGAAUAAGGCCCUAUGGGUUGUAAACUUCUUUUAGACGGGACAAAACCCCUUUACGUGUAAAGGGUUGAUGGUACUGUCAGAAUAAGCAUCGGCUAACUUCGUGCCAGCAGCCGCGGUAAUACGAAGGAUGCAAGCGUUAUCCGGAAUUAUUGGGUUUAAAGGGUGCGUAGGCGGACUGAUAAGUCAGUGGUGAAAGCCUGCAGCUUAACUGCAGAAUUGCCGUUGAUACUGUCAGUCUUGAGUACAGUUGAGGUAGGCGGAAUGUGUCAUGUAGCGGUGAAAUGCUUAGAUAUGACACAGAACACCGAUUGCGAAGGCAGCUUGCUAAGCUGUAACUGACGCUGAGGCACGAAAGCGUGGGGAGCAAACAGGAUUAGAUACCCUGGUAGUCCACGCCCUAAACGAUGAUAACUCGCUGUUGGCGAUACACAGCCAGCGGCCAAGCGAAAGCAUUAAGUUAUCCACCUGGGGAGUACGACCGCAAGGUUGAAACUCAAAGGAAUUGACGGGGGCCCGCACAAGCGGAGGAGCAUGUGGUUUAAUUCGAUGAUACGCGAGGAACCUUACCUGGGCUUGAAAGUUAGCGACCGACUCCGAAAAGAGACUUUCAGAAAUGACGGCGG